This 253-nucleotide ribosomal RNA is filed under the name uncultured bacterium. RNAcentral's name for it is "partial 16S ribosomal RNA". It matches the Rfam family "Bacterial small subunit ribosomal RNA", at positions 524 to 776 of the family's 1533-position model. The record is from RNAcentral.
UACGGAGGGAGCUAGCGUUGUUCGGAAUUACUGGGCGUAAAGCGCACGUAGGCGGCUUUGUAAGUUAGAGGUGAAAGCCUGGGGCUCAACCCCAGAAUUGCCUUUAAGACUGCAUCGCUUGAAUCCAGGAGAGGUGAGUGGAAUUCCGAGUGUAGAGGUGAAAUUCGUAGAUAUUCGGAAGAACACCAGUGGCGAAGGCGGCUCACUGGACCGGCAUUGACGCUGAGGCGCGAAAGCGUGGGGAGCAAACAGG